This 29-nucleotide non-coding RNA is filed under the name Mus musculus (house mouse). Lineage: Eukaryota; Metazoa; Chordata; Mammalia; Rodentia; Muridae. The record is from RNAcentral.
UGUGUGCAGGCCCCAGCCUAUAGCCCUCC